UCAGUGCUGUUCGAUUUGAACGGCUCAAUCAUGACGAUGAAGAAACAGAGACCAAUGAGGUAACACGCCUCGUUCCCAAAAUUAUGACUAGGAAGCGGAAAAAUAAUGGAGGCUCAGAUAGAAGCAAUCACAACGAGAUCUCUUUUAUGGAGAGGAGAGAAGAGGAUGACCAUUCCAACAAUUUUGUUAUUAAUGAGAUCUCUUUUAUGGAGAGGAGAGAAGAAGAUGACCAUUCCAACAAUUUUGUUAUGGCCGAACAUGAGGACAGUCAUGAUAUUGCCAAUAAACAAUAGUUGCAUGAGUUAUCUCAUUCUUUUAUAUAAAUUUCAUU
RNAcentral lists this long non-coding RNA (331 nucleotides) under Nicotiana benthamiana. RNAcentral describes it as "long non-coding RNA (NBEN_LNC041561)". Lineage: Eukaryota; Viridiplantae; Streptophyta; Magnoliopsida; Solanales; Solanaceae. The record is from RNAcentral.